Molecule: ribosomal RNA, 252 nt
Filed under: uncultured bacterium
Lineage: Bacteria
Description: partial 16S ribosomal RNA
Rfam family: Bacterial small subunit ribosomal RNA
Source: RNAcentral
AGUAACACGUGAGUGACCUGCCUUUUAGACUGGAACAACUUACCGAAAGGUGAGCUAAUGCCGGAUGAGUUAUAUAAGUGCAUGUUUAUAUAGGAAAAGUUGGGGAGACCUGACGCUGAAAGAUGGACUCGCGUCCCAUUAGCUAGUUGGUAGGGUAAUGGCCUACCAAGGCGACGAUGGGUAGCCGGCCUGAGAGGGUGGCCGGCCGCACUGGGACUGAGACACGGCCCAGACUCCUACGGAAGGCAGCAG